Molecule: ribosomal RNA, 204 nt
Filed under: uncultured bacterium
Lineage: Bacteria
Description: partial 16S ribosomal RNA
Rfam family: Bacterial small subunit ribosomal RNA
Source: RNAcentral
UACGUAGGGUGCGAGCGUUAAUCGGAAUUACUGGGCGUAAAGCGUGCGCAGGCGGUUUUCCAAGACAGAUGUGAAAUCCCCGGGCUCAACCUGGGAAUGGCAUUUGUGACUGGAAGGCUAGAGUGUGUCAGAGGGGGGUAGAAUUCCGGGGUGUAGCGGUGGAAUGCGUAGAGAUCCGGAAGAACACCAGUGGCGAAGGCGGCC